This 277-nucleotide ribosomal RNA is filed under the name uncultured prokaryote. RNAcentral's name for it is "partial 16S ribosomal RNA". It matches the Rfam family "Bacterial small subunit ribosomal RNA", at positions 524 to 800 of the family's 1533-position model. The record is from RNAcentral.
UACGUAGGGGGCAAGCGUUAUCCGGAUUUACUGGGUGUAAAGGGAGCGUAGACGGUGAUGUAAGUCAGAUGUGAAAGCCCGGGGCUCAACCCCGGGACUGCAUUUGAAACUAUGUUGCUAGAGUGCAGGAGAGGUAAGUGGAAUUCCUAGUGUAGCGGUGAAAUGCGUAGAUAUUAGGAGGAACACCAGUGGCGAAGGCGGCUUACUGGACUGUAACUGACGUUGAGGCUCGAAAGCGUGGGGAGCAAACAGGAUUAGAUACCCCCGUAGUCCCUGA